Molecule: ribosomal RNA, 484 nt
Filed under: uncultured bacterium
Lineage: Bacteria
Description: partial 16S ribosomal RNA
Rfam family: Bacterial small subunit ribosomal RNA
Source: RNAcentral
AUUGAACGCUGGCGGCAGGCCUAACACAUGCAAGUCGAGCGGAUGAAGGGAGCUUGCUCCUGGAUUCAGCGGCGGACGGGUGAGUAAUGCCUAGGAAUCUGCCUGGUAGUGGGGGAUAACGUCCGGAAACGGGCGCUAAUACCGCAUACGUCCUGAGGGAGAAAGUGGGGGAUCUUCGGACCUCACGCUAUCAGAUGAGCCUAGGUCGGAUUAGCUAGUUGGUGGGGUAAAGGCCUACCAAGGCGACGAUCCGUAACUGGUCUGAGAGGAUGAUCAGUCACACUGGAACUGAGACACGGUCCAGACUCCUACGGGAGGCAGCAGUGGGGAAUCUUGGACAAUGGGCGAAAGCCUGAUCCAGCCAUGCCGCGUGUGUGAAGAAGGUCUUCGGAUUGUAAAGCACUUUAAGUUGGGAGGAAGAGCAGUAAGUUAAUACCUUGCUGUUUUGACGUUACCAACAGAAUAAGCACCGGCUAACUUCGUG